UGGGGAAUAUUGGACAAUGGGCGCAAGCCUGAUCCAGCCAUGCCGCGUGAGUGAUGAAGGCCCUAGGGUUGUAAAGCUCUUUCACCGGUGAAGAUAAUGACGGUAACCGGAGAAGAAUCCCCGGCCAACUUCGUGCCAGCAGCCGCGGUAAUACGAAGGGGGCUAGCGUUGUUCGGAUUUACUGGGCGUAAAGCGCACGUAGGCGGACUUUUAAGUCAGGGGUGAAAUCCCGGGGCUCAACCCCGGAACUGCCUUUGAUACUGGAAGUCUUGAGUAUGGUGGAGGUGAGUGGAGUUCCGAGUGUAGAGGUAAAAUUCGUAGAUAUUCGGGGGAACACCAGUGGCGAAGGCGGCUACCUGGACCAUUACUGCCGCUGAGGUGCGAAAGCGUAGGGAGCAAACAG
Molecule: ribosomal RNA, 403 nt
Filed under: Actinomycetes bacterium
Lineage: Bacteria; Bacillati; Actinomycetota; Actinomycetes
Description: Actinobacteria bacterium partial 16S ribosomal RNA
Rfam family: Bacterial small subunit ribosomal RNA
Source: RNAcentral